CCUACGGGAGGCAGCAGUGAGGAAUAUUGGUCAAUGGGCUUACGCCUGAACCAGCCAAGUCGCGUGAGGGAAGACUGCCCUAUGGGUUGUAAACCUCUUUUGUCAGGGAGCAACGCCGGCUACGUGUAGCCGGACUGAGAGUACCUGACGAAAAAGCAUCGGCUAACUCCGUGCCAGCAGCCGCGGUAAUACGUAGGGGGCAAGCGGUAUCCGGAUUUACUGGGGGGAAAGGGAGCGUAGGCGGCGGUGCAAGCCAGGUGGGAAAGCCUGGGGUUCAACCCCGGGACUGGAUUUGGAACUGGGAGGCUAGAGUGUCGGAGAGGCAGGCGGAAUUCCUGGUGUAGCGGUGAAAUGCGUAGAUAUUAGGAAGAACACCAGUGGCGAAGGCGGCCUGCUGGCCGAUGACUGACGUUGAGGCUCGAAAGCGUGGGGAGCAAACAGGAUUAGAUACCCGAGUAGUC
Molecule: ribosomal RNA, 461 nt
Filed under: uncultured bacterium
Lineage: Bacteria
Description: partial 16S ribosomal RNA
Rfam family: Bacterial small subunit ribosomal RNA
Source: RNAcentral